Desmophyllum pertusum is the source of this 73-nucleotide non-coding RNA. Lineage: Eukaryota; Metazoa; Cnidaria; Anthozoa; Scleractinia; Caryophylliidae. The record is from the annotation of a GenBank genome assembly.
UCUCCUGUAGCUCAGUAGUAGAGCGUCCGACCGGUGUGCAGAAGGUCAUUAGGAUCGACUCUUGUUGGAAGAA